GCAUGCAUCGCGUUGCCCUGCCUCAGGGGCCAGAGGCGGGUCCCAGAGGCCCGUGCCAUGGCAUGGCCUGCACCCCUGGCCUCUCACAGCCGCGAGGCAGCGUGCUGUAGCGCCUGCUCCUCCCUCAGCGCCUCGCCAGCCCAGCCGGGACCCUCCACACGCAUUUUUCUCCCAUUCAAAAUACACCAGAAGUUUUCCUGACACCACAGAGACCUAGGGCGGCGCGGAUUCAGUCGAAGAUGGAAGCAAAAACAAAUAUAAUCUCAUUGGCACGAGUGAGAAGCCACGUGCGGGACUGUGAAAUAGGAGCUCGGUGACCAGGAGCAGCCAACGCAGCAGAAAUAAAGGGGCGCUCGACGGGGGGACCGUUAUAAGGGAUGUCAAGCCCGUUAAAAGGAAGAGAAAGUCGUUAACACCUGGGGAAUGAAGAGCGUGGAAGGGAUGUGGGAGAGGAUGACGAGCUGACUGGAAACGGUGGCAGGUGGUUUCGAACUUGGGGAGCGACGGGCGUCUAAAGCUGCAUCUAGAAUGGACUGAAACGGGCGAAUCGCGCAAGUCGUUUAGACCGGCCGGCCGUGCAAAGUAAGACCGUUCACACCUACGAGCUUUUCAGGUAUUCCCUUUAUUCCAUUUGUACCAGCUGCUGCUUUGACGAACCAACUCCAGGGUGACACCUCGUGGCCUACACUUCUCUCCCUCUGUUUGGUUUAGGACAGAAUCACCGAACUGAAGCAAAAAUAUCAUCUUUUCCCCCUUCAGUCCCUCAAAAACAUCACCCAGGUCCUGCAUUUCAGCACACAUAAUGGCUCUCUCUCUCUUUCCCCAUGAGUGGGCUUGUUGACAGCUUUCAGGUGCUGGCAUUUAAAGCAAACCAAAGGUCUGGAAAUUCCCUACUGCCAUAUGCCAGUAUAAUCUAGUAUGACAAAGCUCUCUUGGGGAUUACCUACUGUGUAGAAAAGCACUCUUCACGUCUCUAGCUACCUCUCAUACACUCAUCACAGGCAGCUUCAUGCUUAUAAUUAUGCAGAGGGACAAUCCAUAUGCGUGGGAUGGCUUAUAAAUUGGGACGUUGUUAUAAGUAUAGCUACUGUUAUUUCUCAAGAGCAAGCGGCCUGUGUUUGGGAAUAAGAAGAACCAAAGUUUUGCUGAUGAUCUCAUGGGCGCAUGCAGAAGCAGCAAAAGCCCUGCCUGAAACCAAAGCCGAUUGCUUCCUACUUGCCACUUCCCUCACUCACAAAAAUAAACAAUGCUUGUAGCACUGACUCACAAACCUGCAAAAAGGCAAGUGGCUUAAAAAACUUCUAAUUGUUUCCUGAAGGAGGAAAAUUAAUGGUGGAUAGAAAGUGAACGGAGAAAGAGAUCCACAAAGGUCAACUUUAUUAGUAAGGAUCUUUGUCUGGCAUUCAUGAAGAAAGGCAAGGGUCAUGCAUCCUGAAAAUACCACUACAGGAAGCUCUGCACACCCUGGGUAUCACCCCCACACCCCCUUCACACAGCCGUUGGUUGAGCUGUCUUGCUUAAUGAUCAAAUGCUCAAAAAAAACUGUUCUGUGGCUUGUGGUUGACUUCUUUCUGCUUUUGGUACAACUCCCGUCUCUGGAGAGGCUGCUCGGUCUAUUCAAUUGUCACGGGCCUUGCAAAAAGCCAAACGUGAAUUCACCCCACAGUAAUCAAAAUUUGAUUUAAAAAGAGCUCAGGUGAUAGGAGGUAAGAGGGGAAGUCCCUUCUGCAGAGCAUGGGAAAUGCUCCUGGGACUGCAGAAUAGAAAGAUGUUCCUUCUUUACCGAAGAAAACCAUCUCUGUGAAUGCCCACGUCCUGGAGAGGGCUCUGAACACCAGUGUUAAUGAGGAGAACAUGGAAAGGGAGGAGAAAGGUGUUUGGAUGACUGUAUGCAGCAUGAUUGAAACCAUUACUUCAAUCCUGUGUCCAGUCUGGGUGCCCGCAUAUAAAGGAGGCUUUAUAUGACAAACUGGAAAAGGGUUCAGAAAAAGAGCUGCAAGAAUAGUCCAAGGUUUGGAAAAUGCACUGAUGAAAAAAGUUACCAGUGGUGAUUUCAGAGGUGAUUUGAUCACAACCUUUAAGUAUCUCCAGGGGAAGAAGGUAUCUCUUAAGAGUGGGAUCUUUUUAUCUAACAGGCAAAGGCAAAUCAAGCUCCAAGAGCUGGAAAUGGAAAAUAAGGAACACACAUUUAAACAGCAAGGGAAUUAUCUACUGGGGCAUCUACCCAAAGGGUGUAGUGGGUUUUCCAUCACUUGAAGGUUGUAAAUCAUGCUGGGGAGGGGUCUUUUUCUAAAAAAAUCUGCUUUAGCUUGGCCAGAAUCUCUGGGUGAAGUUCUCUGGCCUGUGCUGUCCCAGAAGUCAGGCAAAAUGAUUGCAAUAUUCCCUUCUAGCCUAGUAAGGUUGGCAUCUUAGCACCAGCAUGACACCCUAAACACAGAGGGAACUGUCACAAACCUACUUGGCUAAGGGAUUGUUUCAUGUAUCUCUCUUAUGUGUAAUCAUAACACCUUGAAAUACUGAUCGUGGGGCAGGCCAGACACUACGCAAACUUGGGACAAAGAGAGCUCACCAGCUAAGUAUAAAACAAGAGGUUAUAGAGGAAUACAGACAGACAGGGGAGUGCAAGGAGACAAUGAGCCCAGGUUGGCUAUGUGAUGGGUGGUGAUCUUUGUACAAAAGAUGCUAUGCUCUCUGAUCCAGGAAAGGGUUUAGUUUCUGUAACCUAGCUGCACUCUCCUCCUCACCCCCAUAUGUUAGUCCCUUGCUCAGGCACUCUGUCUUUCCCUUAUGGCUGUCAUUUUUGGUUCAUGAUUCUUAACAUUCUCUACAUUCAAUCUGUGCUUAAAGUGAAGCACACAUGUCCUGUAUGCCCUGGAUGGGGGUCUCAGGACAGAGCACCUUGCAGAAUGACAUCCAUAAGGAAGCAUGGGAGAAGUGUGUAUUACAGCUGCUUUCAGCUGGAUGGAUCUGUGCAGCUGGAUGUAUUGGUCCUAUACUACUAGCAACUAACCAAGUGCCACAAACUUGCUAAGUUGCUAAUUAUUUUGCAAGAAUAUAUGAAAACCAAUGUUUCUGAGAGAUGUAUUUUUGGAAUAACUGCCUGGGCAAUGGACACCAGGGGGAUAUUUUCUUUUUAAAACAUUGUGAGUGUAAAUCUGGAAGAAUUGAAUUGAAGGCAUUGGAAUUGUGCUGGGUGUAUAUCAGUGCCACUAGGGAGAAUUUGGUCCAUCUGAUGUCUCUUCACUGGCUUUUGUUCCUGUGGAAAUGAAAUAGAGCAGCUUGAGGAGCGAAUCCUCCAGGGCUUCUGCAGCACAUCAAACGCAAGAUUUUCAAAAGACUUCUUGGUGGGCUCCCCUCGAGGAUGUUCUUCCCAUUUCCUGUCCCCUCCUAUGUAUCCCAGAUGGGUUUGGCAGUGGAGCUUUAUCUGCUGAUAAAGAAUUCCCACUUUGCUUUCAAACAAUGAAGCCAAGCACUGGAGCCUGCCUUGCCUCUUUCUCUGCCUAGUUACCUUGGUGGUGACAUGUUUCUAAGCAUGGCAGUCAGAGCCCUUUUGUCUGUGUGCCUGGUCUGGAUUAGGAUGUGAAGGUGUGAUGGCAGAACACAGUGGGUAAUAUGUGUUAGCCAAUAUGUUUGAAAUGUCUAGCCGAGGCAAAGCAGCGAUUGCUCUAAUACAUGCAAGGCAAGUUGUCACUCACCUGGCUUCGCGCAUGUGAAAGGCAGUGUGUCCUGUCUACACUGGACUUUCCAGAGGUUGUUGGUCUGCUCGUGUUUAAUUACACUCCUGUUAAACUAGCUAGAGAUCUGUGGGACUGUAAGGAAACCCUGUGUUAGAAACUCAGGGGCAGAUGGACGUGACAGGGAGGCAGCUGUUAUGCAGAGAACACAGCUUUUAUCUUGUUAUUCCUUUGUGGGGGCCAGCCUGUUUGUCAUUCCCAUCUGUUCUCUUACAGACUCAGGGCAUGUCUACCCUGCAAGCACUGCUGUCACUGCAGUGUAGCACAGAUCUAUCCAUGCUACGUUUCAAUUAGCUAGCUUGGGAACUGGUAGUAAUGUAGCCAUGGCAGCACCAAAUUCAAUGCAAGCUGCAAAAAAACGCAGCCAAGGGCUGGGUGAAUACUCAGGGAGUUAGCCUGUGCUGAGCUCUGUGCUGCAGUAUGGACAGAGGGCAGAGCCUGUCUUCUGCUGCAGAGAGGGUUGGUGCCAUGGCCCUCAGCACAUAUACGAAGCCCAGGCUCCAUUGGGAUCCUGUCCAGAACUCAAGGUAUGGUGAGAAGAUUUUGUGCCUGCAGCUGAUGCUCACCCUUUUCAUGGGAGGGGGUGCUUCAUCAUCAAAAUGACCUGCGGAGAGAAUCACAGUGGGUGGUACACGGGCUCAGCCCGUCUCCGUGCAGCAGUCUGAGAUGUAUUGGCCUGCCGGAGCCCCCGUUCUCCUCUGCAGGGCCUGAAUAUGCCCAGGGGUUUUGAAUGGAGGAAGGUACCUGCCAAAGGGACCGGCUGGUUUCAGCAGAAACGGUGUGUCGCGGACUGUAUCAAGAAUCCGGAGCCACCCACCCUGCAUGGAAGCAGGUGUCCGAGUUGCAACAGAGCCUGUCAAUCCCAUCAGCCACCUUUGGACCCACAGAUAAGACAACCAUGGAAGAUGAUUAUCCUCGACUGCCAAGACUUGCUGGUACCUGCCAAAUGCCAUCUGUCUCUGGCACCGAAGUGAGAGGUCCAGGUGCGUAGAGGUUGCUGAUCGGUGCCCAAGAUCUGCUGCUGCUUGUCUCACCUGAGGAAUGAAGCAGUUGCAGCCUUGGCUUGAAAGCUAUCUUUGCUGCUCGGCUGAGUUCGCACCUCUGUGAGAUGAAUGGGGCCAUUCUCACCACACCUCUCUGAAUGAAUGGGGCCUUUCUUGCCCCUCCUACAACAGUUCCUGGUUCUCUACAGAGACUCAUCUCUGCCUCCUUGACACUCUGUCCAUGUUCUGUGCAACGCUAUUAGCAAGAGGCUUAACUGGCUUUGCUUAACUGAAAGCUGAGAUUCCUUAGGACAACAGCAGUUUGGGAGAGGUGCCACUUGGUAUAGGUUGGGUGUGUGCCCAGGCCCAGCAGUAACUGAUUCAAACAACACCCAACUGCUUGCCAGCUGCUGUUUGCAUGCCCGGUGCAGCAGUGCUGCCAGCGUAGUGAUGACGUUGAUAGAUGUGGUGACUUCCAAGGUUCCUGGUGACCUCUUGGGGCUCCCAGAGACAAAACACCUGCAUUAAGGAGCCUCUGUCUUCUUAGCGCUGGGUAUAGGUUGUAGCUGCUUUGGUCUAAGGACAGAGGCGGACAAUGCUUUUUGGGUAAAUCUGAUAUCUUUUAUUAGACCAACUCAAAUCACUGGAAAAAAAAUCUUCGUUGCAAGCUUUCAGGCACAAACAUCCUGGGUCAGUUAUCCAGCAAUACUUCUGAUGACCCCAGGAUGUCUCCCAAGAGACCUCUAGCAAUUUGCUGAAUCCUACCUGGAAAAUGGCUAGGAGUUGGCACUGCAGAGAAGCACCGGUUUCUCAUCUUGUCUCCCUGCUCAUCCUCUUCCCAGCUCCCCUUCUCCAGUGACUAAUUCCCAAACCCUUUCCCCUACACACACCUAGAUUCAAACCUGCCAGCAACUUAGCCCAGUGUCAUUUCUCUGAGUCAUCUGAGCUGCAUUGCUGGUAAUCCCUCCCCAAGGAUAACUCUCCAGCUCUGGGGUGUUUCUGCCUGAUCUCUUUUAUUUAACUACUUUUCCCCUUUCUUCCUUAUGAAGCCAUGAAGAGUCCUUGGAGGAAAGAUGACGGAGGCAGAUAUGCAGGGCGGGGGGGAAGACGCGCUUCCAGCCUGUGUCACUGUUAUUAAAGAUAGAUGAAUGGCAUCUCUCUGAACACAGGAGGCAAUGACGGAGGGGCUGUAACAUCACAGGGAGCUGCAGAGCAAACUGUGCCUGCAAGUCACCCCGAGGCAGCUGCCUCUCUUUGACAAGUGCUUUUUCACUCCUGGCCUCUUGGGUUUUAAUUUGCCUUUUAUAAAAAUGUGCUUGUCGUAUGCACUGACCUUGGGAAAGAAACAAUCACCCGGGCUGUCUCUUCUGGUUUGCUAUUCAGCUUCCAGCAGAGUUUCCCCUGGUAAUAGACCCCCUCCCCCUUGCACAGGGUUUAUAUAACGCACUACCACUGGAGACCAGUCCCUGAGUCCAUCCACCUCCUUGCGGGGUUUGGAGGUGUGCACGGUUCAGAUGCCACAUUGUGGUGCAUGCCUGAUGGAAGACAAAUCUGAGCUGUCACCGACCAUCCUGGCCUCAGCACGGAGCUACUCAUUUUGCUGAAGAUGCACAAGGCUGAAGGGUAUCCCCUGCAUUCACCUGAGUCUGCAAGGCUGAAGGAAGGAGAGAUGGGCAACACACACUGCCCAAGCCUGGGAAUAACAACACACAGGCCUUAUACCACAAUGUCCAUCUGUAGAGGACAAAGUGCUGCACGAAGAUCAGUAGCACUGACUCCUCUGUGCCCAUAGGGAAACCAAGGCACAAGUAGAUUAAGUGACUUUCCCAAGGACAUCCAACAGAGCUGGGUAUAGGGCCAAGUCUACUAAAUGCCAAUCUCAUGCUUAGCACAGUUGCCCUUUUCCCUGGCGUCACAGGCUUUCCCUCUCCCCACCCCUCUCAUCAAGCCUCCUCUGCUGAGCUUUUUCCCUCACAACAUCCCCCAUCCUUAUUGUGUCCGAAUAGCUGUCCUGUGUGCUGUAUUGCAGCAAAGAUGUGCCCCCCUAGGAUUUCACAGUGCAUGGCCGGGAUUUCACGACAGCAAUGGAAAUAGCACUCCAGGUCCAUGAGAGAUGCUCUGCACAGACUGCUGGGAAGGUAGAGAAGUGGUAACGCAGUAUUAAUGUUAGCAGUACAGGGCUCAGGACACACAGCUGAGCCAGGUUGAAUCCACCCUGUAGAGGCCAGGGCCACGCCAUUGCACAGACGUGUCUUUCCCCUAGCUGCAAUCUCUGCUCUUUUCAAGAUGGAAAAUCUUUCUCUCCCCCUCAGCCUCUCCCUCUCUCUUCCUUAUUUCCUGCUCCUUUGUUUUCUAUCAUCUGUUUCCUUAUAAAAUUACCUAAUUAUUAUUAUAAUCUCUGAUCCAGUCUCUGCAGUGGUUCUCAGGCAGAAACAACCGGAGAGAAGCUAAAGCACAUUGAGAAGCAAACAUAACAUUGGCAGGAAUCAAUGCAGCGCUUAUCACGUGUGCAGCUUUAAUCAGAAAGGCUUGUGGAUCUCAAUGGAUAUUUUCAGCUUGGUUUUUCUUAUUGGUUUACACACCUGAAAGCAUAAAGUUGAAAACUUCCUGCUAGAUGGGCUGCAAACCUUUGCUAGGUUCAUUCUAGCUUCUGAGUCCCUUGUUAUCUUCUGCUAAUUUAAUGCAUUUAAUGGUAAUAUUCUCCAUCCAUAUACCCCUACGCCAGUCAUAAACUCAAAAGCUUUUUUUCCCUUUUUUCUCUAGGGGAAGAGCAAUGAGUUUAAUUGUAACGAUUGUGUGACCUCACUGCUGCAGCCUUCUGUGUUCUUACAGCCAUCUCUUCUUUGUUUUGCAGAAACAAGCACUCUGAGGGCGCUGGUUAAUUUAUUAUUAAUAAUAGUAAUUAAUAGUGUGCCGGAUUACUGAACUCUAGCUGUGACCUGUAGAGGGGCUCAUCUGCUGAGAAUAUUCAGGUUAUUUACUACCCAUCUCUAGGGAUGGGCAGCAGUAUGCCUCUGUCUGUUAAAAAUUUCCUGUCCAUAUAUCACGGCUUAAUUAAAGCAGAGGACAAGUAACCCUGGCAACCGAAAGCCUCUCUCUGUCCGUAGGCCAGCAGUGACAUUUGUAGCAUCUCCCGAGAGAGUGUCCAUCUCCCUAGAAGUGAGAGGUCGAGUUACAAGCACGCAAGCUUUCAGUACAUGGGUGAGCAGCGUCUGCGAAGUGGAAGAGCCAAGGUCACACGCAACUCCUUCCUGGGAAAAGUGCCCUUGAAUUUCUCUUAAAUGCCUUUCCACUUACUGCAUCACAACCACAUCAUUAUGGUGGCAACUCAGGUGCUAUUAUACGAGCACUUAUAGUGCCUAUAAGAGGAUCUCCUUCACCUGUUGGCAACACGGGACUAUAUAUAAACUCUUGAGUGAUGCUGACUUCAUCAAGCAGAGGGCAGUGGUGGAUGCACACAGCUGCCAACAUAUUGGAGUGCUAAACAGUGACUAUUGGCACUAAUGGCCUGGACCCCUUUUUACAAAGCGGUGUAUAAACACAUGGUCUCUGCCCCAGAGAGCCACCCACCUUGGGGAAAAUGAUGUUAUUACCCUGCCAAAUCUCUCCCUGAGCUUGUGCUGACAUUUUAUCAUGUUCUAAAUAAGAAUGAUAAAAAUAAAACCCAGAGAAAUUCA
Alligator mississippiensis (American alligator) is the source of this 8394-nucleotide long non-coding RNA. RefSeq lists it as uncharacterized. NCBI's taxonomy places the organism in Eukaryota, Metazoa, Chordata, Crocodylia, Alligatoridae. The record is from RefSeq and is a predicted model, not a curated record. The transcript has 2 exons.